ACUAACAGGAUUCCCCUAGUAACUGCGAGUGAACCGGGAAAAGCUCAAAUUUUGAAUCUGGCGGUCUUUCGGCCGUCCGAGUUGUAAUCUAGAGAAGCGUCUUCCGCGCUGGACCGUGUAUAAGUUUCCUGGAAUGGAACGUCGUAGAGGGUGAGAAUCCCGUCUUUGACACGGACUGCCAGGGCUAUGUGAUGCGCUCUCGACGAGUCGAGUUGUUUGGGAAUGCAGCUCAAAUAGGGUGGUAAAUUCCAUCUAAAGCUAAAUACAGGCGAGAGACCGAUAGCGAACAAGUACCGUGAGGGAAAGAUGAAAAGAACUUUGGAAAGAGAGUUAAACAGUACGUGAAAUUGCUGAAAGGGAAACGCUUGAUGUCAGUCGCGUCGGCCGGGGAUCAGCCUUGCUCUUUUGCUCGGUGUAUUUCCUGGUCGACGGGUCAGCAUCGGUUUCGACCGUCGGAAAAUGGCUCGAGGAAUGUGGCACUCUUCGGAGUGUGUUAUAGACUCGGGUCGAAUACGACGAUCGGGACCGAGGAACUCAGCACGACCUUCGGGUUUCGGGGCUUCGGCCCACGUCGACGUGCUUAGGAUGCUGGCAUAAUGGCCUUAAGCGACCCGUCUUGAAACACGGACCAAGGAGUCUAACUCGCAUGCGAGUGUUUGGGCGAUUAAAACCCGAGCGCGCAAUGAAAGUGAAAGUCGAGACCUCUGUCGUGGAGGGCACCGACGCCCGGACCCGAGCUUCUGCGAAGGAUCUGCGGUAGAGCAUGCGUGUUGGGACCCGAAAGAUGGUGAACUAUGCCUGAAUAGGGUGAAGCCAGAGGAAACUCUGGUGGAGGCUCGUAGCGAUUCUGAC
RNAcentral lists this ribosomal RNA (852 nucleotides) under Suillus huapi. RNAcentral's name for it is "LSU rRNA". It matches the Rfam family "Eukaryotic large subunit ribosomal RNA", at positions 64 to 890 of the family's 3401-position model. The record is from RNAcentral. Lineage: Eukaryota; Fungi; Basidiomycota; Agaricomycetes; Boletales; Suillaceae.